GGUAAAAUGGCUGAUAAUAGGCGAUAAACUGUAAAUUUAUUUAUGAAACAGAGGUUUCUUUUACCA
Molecule: transfer RNA, 66 nt
Filed under: Hypera striata
Lineage: Eukaryota; Metazoa; Arthropoda; Insecta; Coleoptera; Curculionidae
Description: tRNA-Tyr
Source: RNAcentral